Molecule: ribosomal RNA, 578 nt
Filed under: Corynebacterineae bacterium StTD603
Lineage: Bacteria; Bacillati; Actinomycetota; Actinomycetes; Mycobacteriales; Corynebacteriaceae
Description: bacterial SSU rRNA
Rfam family: Bacterial small subunit ribosomal RNA
Source: RNAcentral
ACGGGUGAUUAACACGUGGGUGAUCUGCCCUGCACUUUGGGAUAAGCCUGGGAAACUGGGUCUAAUACCGAAUAUGACCACGCUCUUCAUGGGGUGUGGUGGAAAGCUUUUGCGGUGUGGGAUGGGCCCGCGGCCUAUCAGCUUGUUGGUGGGGUAAUGGCCUACCAAGGCGACGACGGGUAGCCGGCCUGAGAGGGUGACCGGCCACACUGGGACUGAGAUACGGCCCAGACUCCUACGGGAGGCAGCAGUGGGGAAUAUUGCACAAUGGGCGCAAGCCUGAUGCAGCGACCCCCCGUGAGGGAUGACGGCCUUCGGGUUGUAAACCUCUUUCACCAGGGACGAAGCGCAUGUGACGGUACCUGGAGAAUAAGCACCGGCCAACUACGUGCCAACAGCCGCGGUAAUACGUAGGGUGCGAGCGUUGUCCGGAAUUACUGGGCGUAAAGAGCUCGUAGGUGGUUUGUCGCGUUGUUCGUGAAAACUCACAGCUUAACUGUGGGCGUGCGGGCGAUACGGGCAGACUAGAGUACUGCACGGGAGACUGGAAUUCCUGGUGUAGCGGUGGAAUGCGCAGA